GCUGAUAUAGUUUCUCUAAAAAAUAAUGAAGGCAUUAGUUACAUACAUGUUGCUGGUAAUGGGUUUCUUGUUGCUAAUGCAUAUUGAUCCAUCUGUAUCAACGGCAAAUCCUAGAUUUGACACAAUGCUCAGAGGUAAGCAGCAAACGCCGCCGCCACCAAUCCCCGGUGGAUCGCAUCACCAAGGGACCCCUAAGACUCCAAGUACCCAAAACCGACCACCACCACCAUCACCAUUACCAACUCCGCCUAUAUCUGGCCCACAUUUUCCGCCGUUGUGCUCACCACCACCACCACCACCACCACCACCGGCUUAUUAAUUAUAUUAUAAGUCAAAAUCAAGAUGGUUAAUGUUUGUGCCUCAGUUUUGUUGGGGAGAUUAGUCACGAUUUAUCAAAUAAUUAAACUUUAUUUGAUAUUUGGUAUCUCAAUAACUUGUUGGGUCGACCUGCAAAUAUUAUGUUAUCAUGGUUCCGAGGUCCAAUAAUACAAUUAAGUUUCAUUAGAUUAUUUAUGUGGUGUUUGCAAAUGAUUAUUUAAAAGCAGAAGUUAGUGAUUGUGAUUUAAGUUAGUUUUAAGUGCUUAUUUCUAAAAGUUGGGGGUGUUUGCAAAUAUUUCGGAAAAUGAACUAAAAUUGAAAAAGCAGGGUUAGGGGUGCUUUUAAAAAAGGGUUAAUAUGUUAGAAGUCCCUUAAACCAAACCUAAUUAGAUAUAGAAUACAACCCUAAUAUUUUUUUAUGAACUAAAUCCCUCAUUCUCUGAUAAAUUUUAAAGACAUGCCAUUUUUUUAUUUUAUCCCAAGACUGCCCUUACGGUAACAGUUAUUGGGAAUGGAAACAUAUCACGUUCCUUCUCUUUCCUCUAUCUCUCUCCCAAUUCUUCUCCACAACCUAUAUUUCUCCUCGCCUCUUUCUCUCUCCCUCUCCUGUAGAUUUUUAUUUUCCCGUUUUUUCUCAUCCAUCUAUUUUUUUUCGCUUCUGGUUUCUUUUUUAUGAUUCUUCUCCACCACUAUUCAACAUUAAAUCAUGUCGCGUAACCCAGGCUUGGUCCGUAAAUUUUUAAUUCUCGCAAUUUCUAAUUUUAUGCCAUAUUAAUGAAUCCCAGUUUGAUACUGAUUUGUGGAGGUGCAUAAUUAAGUCUUCUACAGUAAUGUGCUUGAAUAAAACUUGGAUCUGUUGUGUUCGACACUAGUGGACUGUGCGUAUUGUGAAAUCAGGUAUAACCAUUCACAAUAAUUUUGAUAUUAUUUUUUAGGGAUUCGAUGUGCAGCUAUUGAACUUUGUUUGGUUUAUUGAGUGAGUUGAAGUCUCGAAGUGCAUCUUCUGGACUUUUUGAAUUUUCGUAAGAUGUGAAUUAUGCUUACAUAUUGGUAUUGUUAAUGAUUUAUUAUUGAUCAUAUAUGUGUUUGCUAAUUGCAUAUUCAUGAAAGUCUGAGUUAUUGUAUGUGAACGCUUUAAGUUUUAGUUUGAUCGUGUGUAUACAUAAUCACAAAACUUAUUGUUAUUGUUGGAAUACCAGGACAGAGUAUAUUAUAGUCAUCUUUAUGCUUACCAAAUAUUCAUAGUCUAUUAUAGUGUACGUAUAUGUCUUUGUGUUGUUUGUUUAGAGGAUUAUAAGAUUAUGUGUUAGGAUUAGAAACGAUUAUUUGUAGAUGUUAUUUACAGGUUGUCAUAUACAUGGACUUGGAUCUGCUUCGUUGUGGAUCGUAAUUGCGUUUGGAC
RNAcentral lists this long non-coding RNA (1720 nucleotides) under Erythranthe guttata (spotted monkey flower). RNAcentral describes it as "long non-coding RNA (EGUT_LNC001966)". Lineage: Eukaryota; Viridiplantae; Streptophyta; Magnoliopsida; Lamiales; Phrymaceae. The record is from RNAcentral.